RNAcentral lists this small RNA (1720 nucleotides) under Glypholecia scabra. Its description in RNAcentral is "eukaryotic LSU rRNA". The stretch from base 1124 to 1720 matches the Rfam family "Eukaryotic large subunit ribosomal RNA", at positions 1 to 679 of the family's 3401-position model. The record is from RNAcentral. Lineage: Eukaryota; Fungi; Ascomycota; Lecanoromycetes; Acarosporales; Acarosporaceae.
GCAGAGAGAGGACAGCGCAGGUGUGACCACCUCUGAAGCCUUGAAUUUCCAGUCUACUUAUCGUAGGCGACACUAGUCUGUUGCUGGGACUUUUCUUCGGGAUAACCAGCAGCCACAGUACUGAUGUAGUGUGGUUCACAGAUCAAACACUAGUGGCCUGAGAAGUUCACGACCCCAACUCUCACCGCCCUUUGUGGCAUUAGCCCACGGGCAACGUCCGGUUCGUGUAAUGUGGUUGUGGGAGCUGGGAGCUGCGGGUCACCAUACGUGGUCCGACAAUGAUGGUUAUAGGGCGUGUCUUCGGCAGCUUUGGGGUGUCUGUGGUUUUAUUCACAGCUCUCAUUGUCAGUGCUGGGAUCCUGCCUGGUUUCAAAGGAAGUCUCGAAUGAACUCGCUUAGGUCUUUUGUAGGCUAAGAAUAGAGUCAUUUAAGCAAAACCUCUGGUCCCUAACUGCAUACACAACCUGACAGUUGCAUGGAAGGGUUGGAGCUCUCAGAAUGGAGAACGGUAAUAGGUAUUCCCGAACCCUGUGCUUGAAUGGUGAAUUGGGUGUGAAUCUAGGUUAAAAUAUGACCGGCCCCAUCUGGAGACAGGUUGAGAGUCAAGUGUUCCGUAGGUGAACCUGCGGAAGGAUCAUUACAGAGUUGGGGUCUUUCAGGCCCAACCUCCCAACCCUAUGUGUACCUACCUUUGUUGCUUUGGCGAGCCCGUGGGGUAAACCACCGGCGGCGACGUGCCGCCGAGCGUCCGUCAAAGACCCAUCAAACCCCGUUAGCCGUGCAGUCUGAGUACCGGUAUAAUAUUUAAAACUUUCAACAACGGAUCUCUUGGUUCUGGCAUCGAUGAAGAACGCAGCGAAAUGCGAUAAGUAAUGUGAAUUGCAGAAUUCAGUGAAUCAUCGAAUCUUUGAACGCACAUUGCGCCCUUUGGUAUUCCGAGGGGCAUGCCUGUUCGAGCGUCAUUACACCACUCAAGCUCGGCUUGGUUUUGGGCCCACGUCCCCCGUAGACGGGCCUGGAAAUCAGUGGCCAUCCGGCCCCGGCUUCAAGCAGUAUUAGUUUACCUUUCGCUUUGGAAGUCCAGGCUGGGUCGGCCAGACAACCCCCGAUUUUUUCCAACAGUGGACCUCGGAUCAGGUAGGGAUACCCGCUGAACUUAAGCAUAUCAAUAAGCGGAGGAAAAGAAACCAACAGGGAUUGCCUCAGUAACGGCGAGUGAAGCGGCAACAGCUCAAAUUUGAAAUCUGGCUCUUUCGGAGUCCGAGUUGUAAUUUGUAGAGGAUGCUUCGGGUACGGCUCCGGUCUAAGUCCCUUGGAACAGGGCGUCAUAGAGGGUGAGAAUCCCGUACGUGACCGGCGACCACGCCCAUGUGAAGCUCCUUCGACGAGUCGAGUUGUUUGGGAAUGCAGCUCAAAACGGGUGGUAAAUUUCAUCUAAAGCUAAAUAUUGGCCAGAGACCGAUAGCGCACAAGUAGAGUGAUCGAAAGAUGAAAAGCACUUUGGAAAGAGAGUUAAACAGUACGUGAAAUUGUUGAAAGGGAAGCGCUUGCAACCAGACUUGCCCGUGGGUGAUCAGCCGGUAUUUUUACCGGUGCACUCGCCCGUGGUCAGGCCAGCAUCGGUUUGGGCGGCUGGAUAAAGACCCCCGGAACGUAGCUCCUCUCGGGGAGUGUUAUAGCCGGGGGUGCAAUGCGGCCCGCCCGGACCGAGGACCGCGCU